RNAcentral lists this ribosomal RNA (295 nucleotides) under uncultured Pseudomonas sp. Its description in RNAcentral is "partial 16S ribosomal RNA". It matches the Rfam family "Bacterial small subunit ribosomal RNA", at positions 1088 to 1382 of the family's 1533-position model. The record is from RNAcentral. Lineage: Bacteria; Pseudomonadati; Pseudomonadota; Gammaproteobacteria; Pseudomonadales; Pseudomonadaceae.
GUCGACGAGCGCAACCCUUGUCCUUAGUUACCAGCACGUUAUGGUGGGCACUCUAAGGAGACUGCCGGUGACAAACCGGAGGAAGGUGGGGAUGACGUCAAGUCAUCAUGGCCCUUACGGCCUGGGCUACACACGUGCUACAAUGGUCGGUACAAAGGGUUGCCAAGCCGCGAGGUGGAGCUAAUCCCAUAAAACCGAUCGUAGUCCGGAUCGCAGUCUGCAACUCGACUGAGUGAAGUCGGAAUCGCUAGUAAUCGUGAAUCAGAAUGUCACGGUGAAUACGUUCCCGGGCCUU